Molecule: ribosomal RNA, 404 nt
Filed under: uncultured bacterium
Lineage: Bacteria
Description: bacterial SSU rRNA
Rfam family: Bacterial small subunit ribosomal RNA
Source: RNAcentral
UGGGGAAUAUUGGACAAUGGGGGCAACCCUGAUCCAGCCAUGCCGCGUGAGUGAUGAAGGCCUUCGGGUUGUAAAGCUCUUUUGGCGGGGACGAUGAUGACGGUACCCGCAGAAUAAGCCCCGGCUAACUUCGUGCCAGCAGCCGCGGUAAGACGAAGGGGGCUAGCGUUGUUCGGAAUUACUGGGCGUAAAGGGCGCGUAGGCGGUUUGUUAAGUCAGGCGUGAAAGCCCUGGGCUCAACCUGGGAUGUGCGCUUGAUACUGGCAAGCUUGAGUGCAGGAGAGGAUGGUGGAAUUCCCAGUGUAGAGGUGAAAUUCGUAGAUAUUGGGAAGAACACCGGUGGCGAAGGCGGCCAUCUGGACUGCAACUGACGCUGAGGCGCGAAAGCGUGGGGAGCAAACAGG